RNAcentral lists this ribosomal RNA (1161 nucleotides) under uncultured bacterium. RNAcentral's name for it is "bacterial SSU rRNA". It matches the Rfam family "Bacterial small subunit ribosomal RNA", at positions 223 to 1399 of the family's 1533-position model. The record is from RNAcentral.
GGAUGGACCCGCGUCUGAUUAGCUGGUUGGUGAGGUAACGGCUCACCAAGGCGACGAUAGGUAGCCGAUCUGAGAGGAUGACCGGCCACACUGGAACUGAGAGACGGUCCAGACUCCUACGGGAGGCAGCAGUGGGGAAUAUUGGGCAAUGGGCGCAAGCCUGACCCAGCAACGCCGCGUGAGGGAAGAAGGUUUUCGGAUUGUAAACCUCUGUCGCAGGGGACGAGGAGAAGACGGUACCCUGUGAGGAAGCCCCGGCUAACUACGUGCCAGCAGCCGCGGUAAUACAGAGGUCUCAAGCGUUGUUCGGAAUCACUGGGCGUAAAGCGUGCGUAGGCUGUUUCGUAAGUCGUGUGUGAAAGGCGCGGGCUCAACCCGCGGACGGCACAUGAUACUGCGAGACUAGAGUAAUGGAGGGGGAACCGGAAUUCUCGGUGUAGCAGUGAAAUGCGUAGAUAUCGAGAGGAACACUCGUGGCGAAGGCGGGUUCCUGGACAUUAACUGACGCUGAGGCACGAAGGCCAGGGGAGCGAAAGGGAUUAGAUACCCCUGUAGUCCUGGCAGUAAACGGUGCACGCUUGGUGUGCGGGGAAUCGACCCCCUGCGUGCCGGAGCUAACGCGUUAAGCGUGCCGCCUGGGGAGUACGGUCGCAAGAUUAAAACUCAAAGAAAUUGACGGGGACCCGCACAAGCGGUGGAGUAUGUGGCUUAAUUCGAUGCAACGCGAAGAACCUUACCUGGGCUUGACAUGUAAUGAACAACAUGUGAAAGCAUGCGACUCUUCGGAGGCGUUACACAGGUGCUGCAUGGCCGUCGUCAGCUCGUGUCGUGAGAUGUUUGGUUAAGUCCAGCAACGAGCGCAACCCCUGUUGCCAGUUACCAGCACGUGAAGGUGGGGACUCUGGCGAGACUGCCCAGAUCAACUGGGAGGAAGGUGGGGACGACGUCAGGUCAGUAUGGCCCUUAUGCCCAGGGCUGCACACGUACUACAAUGCCCAGUACAGAGGGGGCCGAAGCCGCGAGGCGGAGGAAAUCCUGAAAACUGGGCCCAGUUCGGACUGUAGGCUGCAACCCGCCUACACGAAGCCGGAAUCGCUAGUAAUGGCGCAUCAGCUACGGCGCCGCGAAUACGUUCCCGGGUCUUGCACACACCGCCCGUCA